RNAcentral lists this ribosomal RNA (330 nucleotides) under Triticum aestivum (bread wheat). RNAcentral describes it as "partial small subunit ribosomal RNA". Lineage: Eukaryota; Viridiplantae; Streptophyta; Magnoliopsida; Poales; Poaceae. The record is from RNAcentral.
AUGGAUAAGCCAGAUAAGAGGAAUGCUUACCAUAAGACGAAACAUGGUUUCAUUUUUGCUAUGAUCUAUAAUCAAGCAAGUCACACAUAUUGUGAUUGUGCAAAUUGGAGAGAAUUAUGCAAGGUUUGCGGAUUUGAGGAGGGUAUGAGAAUAACCUUCGAUAUUGGCGUUCCUCAAUAUGAUCCAAUCACUGGUCCUCAACAUGAUAAAGACAUUUGGGUGGAUCUGGACAUAAUUCUAGUUCUAUCUCCAUCUUAUUUUCUAUCUUCAAGAAAUACACGGAAGAUAGUAGACGAGACCUAUUACACUACUGGCUCAGAGCUAACUUGA